RNAcentral lists this ribosomal RNA (253 nucleotides) under uncultured bacterium. RNAcentral describes it as "partial 16S ribosomal RNA". It matches the Rfam family "Bacterial small subunit ribosomal RNA", at positions 524 to 776 of the family's 1533-position model. The record is from RNAcentral.
UACGUAGGGGGCAAGCGUUGUCCGGAAUCAUUGGGCGUAAAGAGCGUGUAGGUGGCCCGGUCAGUCCGCCGUGAAAGUCCAGGGCUCAACCCUGGAAUGCCGGUGGAUACUGCCGGGCUGGAGUCCGGAAGAGGCGAGUGGAAUUCCUGGUGUAGCGGUGAAAUGCGCAGAUAUCGGGAAGAACACCCGUGGCGAAGGCGGCUCUCUGGGACGGUACUGACGCUGAGACGCGAAAGCGUGGGGAGCGAACAGG